GAACACCAGUGGCGAAGGCGACUUUCUGGACUGUAACUGACGCUGAGGUACGAAAGCGUGGGUAGCGAACAGGAUUAGAUACCCUGGUAGUCCACGCCGUAAACGAUGGAUACUAGGUGUAGGGGGUAUCGACCCCCCCUGUGCCGGAGUUAACGCAAUAAGUAUCCCGCCUGGGGAGUACGGUCGCAAGACUGAAACUCAAAGGAAUUGACGGGGGCCCGCACAAGCAGCGGAGCAUGUGGUUUAAUUCGAAGCAACGCGAAGAACCUUACCAGGGCUUGACAUCCCGAUGACCGGUACAGAGAUGUACCUUCCCUUCGGGGCAUUGGAGACAGGUGGUGCAUGGUUGUCGUCAGCUCGUGUCGUGAGAUGUUGGGUUAAGUCCCGCAACGAGCGCAACCCCUAUCCUUAGUUGCCAUCAGUUAAAGCUGGGCACUCUAAAGAGACUGCCGGGGAUAACUCGGAGGAAGGUGGGGAUGACGUCAAAUCAUCAUGCCCCUUAUGUCCUGGGCUACACACGUGCUACAAUGGCCUGUAACAGAGGGAAGCGAAGUCGUAAGGCGGAGCAAAACUCAGAAACCAGGUCCCAGUUCGGAUUGUGGGCUGCAACUCGCCCACAUGAAGUCG
This 627-nucleotide ribosomal RNA is filed under the name uncultured bacterium. RNAcentral describes it as "bacterial SSU rRNA". It matches the Rfam family "Bacterial small subunit ribosomal RNA", at positions 704 to 1328 of the family's 1533-position model. The record is from RNAcentral.